Molecule: long non-coding RNA, 424 nt
Filed under: Hordeum vulgare
Lineage: Eukaryota; Viridiplantae; Streptophyta; Magnoliopsida; Poales; Poaceae
Description: long non-coding RNA (HVUL_LNC009176)
Source: RNAcentral
GCGGCCUCUGACGCGUUGGGCUCGAGGAGGGCGACCGUCAUAAAUAAUGUUGACCGCGGUGGUUGGGGCGGACACCGAAAGGAUUCACGUCCGCGCCGACGCAUUUCAGUCUCAAAUUUGUACCAACGCGUUUUAGAAAUAGGUCAACGUGUUGGAUCAUCACUUUUAUCCGUACAGCCUUAGACGGACGGCUAUGGAUAAAAUGGAUCGUCUGGUUAGAAAUUUUUUUAAGUAAAUAAAAACCAAGGGGGCCAUGUACCCUACUGGUCUCGGAGUAAUCGGUGUGGCAGACUGGCAGUGGCACCUACAAGGCAGUCGUCGGGUGACAAAUCAAAUUUCCAGAUCCACAUAAAAAAGGGAUAGUCAGAGUAGCAGGAGCAGCUUGGGUAUGAGCGACUCACCAGAAAUAGCUCGUGCUCGGGAC